AAACAGGAUUAGAUACCUGGUAGUCCACGCCGUAAACGAUGUCGAUUUGGAGGUUGUGCCCUUGAGGCGUGGCUUCCGGAGCUAACGCGUUAAAUCGACGCCUGGGGAGUACGGCCGCAAGGUUAAAACUCAAAUGAAUUGACGGGGGCCCGCACAAGCGGUGGAGCAUGUGGUUUAAUUCGAUGCAACGCGAAGAACCUUACCUGGUCUUGACAUCCACAGAACUUUCCAGAGAUGGAUUGGUGCCUUCGGGAACUGUGAGACAGGUGCUGCAUGGCUGUCGUCAGCUCGUGUUGUGAAAUGUUGGGUUAAGUCCCGCAACGAGCGCAACCCUUAUCCUUUGUUGCCAGCGGUUAGGCCGGGAACUCAAAGGAGACUGCCAGUGAUAAACUGGAGGAAGGUGGGGAUGACGUCAAGUCAUCAUG
This 425-nucleotide ribosomal RNA is filed under the name Klebsiella pneumoniae. RNAcentral's name for it is "bacterial SSU rRNA". It matches the Rfam family "Bacterial small subunit ribosomal RNA", at positions 770 to 1197 of the family's 1533-position model. Lineage: Bacteria; Pseudomonadati; Pseudomonadota; Gammaproteobacteria; Enterobacterales; Enterobacteriaceae. The record is from RNAcentral.